GGAACGUACCCUGGAGUGGGGGAUAACGUAGCGAAAGUUACGCUAAUACCGCAUACGAUCUAAGGAUGAAAGUGGGGGAUCGCAAGACCUCAUGCUCCUGGAGCGGCCGAUAUCUGAUUAGCUAGUUGGUAGGGUAAAAGCCUACCAAGGCAUCGAUCAGUAGCUGGUCUGAGAGGACGACCAGCCACACUGGAACUGAGACACGGUCCAGACUCCUACGGGAGGCAGCAGUGGGGAAUUUUGGACAAUGGGCGCAAGCCUGAUCCAGCAAUGCCGCGUGAGUGAAGAAGGCCUUCGGGUUGUAAAGCUCUUUUGUCAGGGAAGAAACGGUGAAGGCUAAUAUCCUUUGCUAAUGACGGUACCUGAAGAAUAAGCACCGGCUAACUACGUGCCAGCAGCCGCGGUAAUACGUAGGGUGCAAGCGUUAAUCGGAAUUACUGGGCGUAAAGCGUGCGCAGGCGGUUUUGUAAGUUUGUCGUGAAAUCCCCGGGCUCAACCUGGGAAUGGCGAUGAAGACUGCAAGGCUAGAAUCUGGCAGAGGGGGGUAGAAUUCCACGUGUAGCAGUGAAAUGCGUAGAGAUGUGGAGGAACACCGAUGGCGAAGGCAGCCCCCUGGGUCAAGAUUGACGCUCAUGCACGNNGCGUGNGGAGCAAACAGGAUUAGAUACCCUGGUAGUCCACGCCCU
This 686-nucleotide ribosomal RNA is filed under the name Oxalobacteraceae bacterium 25-1PB. RNAcentral's name for it is "bacterial SSU rRNA". It matches the Rfam family "Bacterial small subunit ribosomal RNA", at positions 121 to 803 of the family's 1533-position model. The record is from RNAcentral. Lineage: Bacteria; Pseudomonadati; Pseudomonadota; Betaproteobacteria; Burkholderiales; Oxalobacteraceae.